This is a long non-coding RNA of Populus euphratica (Euphrates poplar), 114 nucleotides long. RefSeq lists it as uncharacterized. The record is from RefSeq and is a predicted model, not a curated record. Lineage: Eukaryota; Viridiplantae; Streptophyta; Magnoliopsida; Malpighiales; Salicaceae. The transcript has 3 exons.
ACUUUAUAUGGCUGGAAAGUGGAGAUCCGAUGAGAGAGAGAGAAUCGCCGGCGAGAGGAGAGAGAGACUCUGAGAUUUGCUACGGUGUGAAUGCGAGUAUGGUGCACCGGUGCG